Molecule: RNA transcript, 10983 nt
Organism: Mustela lutreola (European mink)
Lineage: Eukaryota; Metazoa; Chordata; Mammalia; Carnivora; Mustelidae
Gene: QKI
Gene name: QKI, KH domain containing RNA binding
Exons: 8
Source: RefSeq, a predicted model, not a curated record
GGGGCUCCCCGCCCCUCCCUCCUCUCCGGCGGCGGCGGCGGCGGCGGCGGGCGGAGUGAGCUGCGGAGCCUGGAAUAUGGUCGGGGAAAUGGAAACGAAGGAGAAGCCGAAGCCCACCCCAGAUUACCUGAUGCAGCUGAUGAACGACAAGAAGCUCAUGAGCAGCCUGCCCAACUUCUGCGGGAUCUUCAACCACCUCGAGCGGCUGCUGGACGAAGAAAUUAGCAGAGUACGGAAAGACAUGUACAAUGACACAUUAAAUGGCAGUACAGAGAAAAGGAGUGCAGAAUUGCCUGAUGCUGUGGGACCUAUUGUUCAGUUACAAGAGAAACUUUAUGUGCCUGUAAAAGAAUAUCCAGAUUUUAAUUUUGUUGGGAGAAUCCUUGGACCCAGAGGACUUACUGCUAAACAGCUUGAAGCAGAAACAGGAUGUAAAAUAAUGGUCCGAGGCAAAGGCUCCAUGAGGGAUAAAAAGAAGGAGGAGCAGAACAGAGGCAAGCCUAAUUGGGAGCAUCUCAAUGAAGAUUUACAUGUACUGAUCACUGUGGAAGAUGCUCAAAACAGAGCAGAAAUCAAACUGAAGAGAGCCGUUGAGGAAGUGAAGAAAUUACUGGUACCUGCAGCAGAGGGAGAAGACAGCCUGAAGAAGAUGCAGCUGAUGGAGCUUGCGAUUCUGAAUGGCACCUACAGAGACGCCAACAUUAAAUCACCAGCCCUUGCCUUUUCUCUUGCAGCAACAGCCCAGGCUGCUCCAAGGAUUAUCACUGGGCCUGCGCCUGUCCUCCCGCCAGCUGCCCUGCGUACUCCUACGCCAGCUGGCCCUACCAUAAUGCCUUUGAUCAGACAAAUACAGACCGCUGUCAUGCCAAACGGAACUCCUCACCCGACUGCUGCAAUAGUUCCUCCGGGGCCCGAAGCUGGUUUGAUCUACACACCCUAUGAGUACCCCUACACGUUGGCACCAGCUACAUCAAUUCUUGAGUAUCCUAUUGAACCUAGUGGUGUAUUAGAGUGGAUUGAAAUGCCAGUCAUGCCUGAUAUUUCAGCCCAUUGACUUGCUGGAUGAAGGACUAGAAUACAGCAGCUGUUCUAACACGACCAGUCAAUGUGGGACAAACUGUUUCCGUGCUGCCCCUUUGUUUUACCAGACAGAAUUUGAAUACUUUUUUUCCUUGAAUUGUAUAUGACCUUGGUGCUGCAUGCGUGCUGUUGACUCUUAGGACUUUUGAUCUUUUAAGUUUUUUUUCCAGCAUUAAUACUGAUUUAUAAAAAUUUGGAAGUCUUUAAUGAACCCGGACACUAAGAUUCAAACUUGAAAAUUCGCUGUUCAAUUCAAGAAAGCCACAAUGCUCUGUAUGUUAUCUGUGUGUGUGCACGCACUCAGGUGCCUUUUGUUUCAUGAGCAAAUAGGUUUUAUUGUACAUGUGUUCCGUUGAUCUCUAAAUCAUUGUAUAAAGUAUCACAGGUCAGAAUUAUACUAUAGAAUUGUUUAUGAGAGGCUUGUUUCUGUUGCACAUUUCUUGAAGCAUUUUUAAAAUAACAUGUAACAUGUAACCUGUUUACGUUUUCCUUUCUGUUAACGCUCUGUCCUGUGGCCCCAUGCCUGCUCCUCUCCCCAGAGCUCCUCUCUGCUGCACGCACAGCGUCUGUUCGAGGAGUUGGUUGCUUCCUGCAGGGCUGGCGCUCUAGCCACCAGCUGCUGUGCCAGCACUCUCACUGCAAGAUCUCGCUGAUUUUGCCUCGUGGAAUUAUACUUGUCUAAGAUUAGUAUAUCUAAAAUGAAAAAGGGGUGAUGGACCAGUUUACUGCUUAGAAACAGCUAGAGGCACUGCAGUUUCUCAUUUUAAGCACUGUGUUUUUUCUUGUGUUGGGAAAUUUUUAUUUAUAAUACUUAAUUAUUCAACUGACAAAAGCACAAUGUACAGAUCCCUAAUUGGCAUAAACUAAAUGACCAAAAUGACCAGUCCUAUUUCUCGCUUUGCCACCUAAGCAGUAAAACAUGACCUUGAGCACUUGGAGAACUGAGAAAAUUAUUUCAAAUUGCUAAGUUAUAAUAAAUUUGCACACAGAUAACAUGCAUGAUAUAUCAAGCCUCACAUCAUAUUAUUUUAAAAUAAGCAGUGCCCUUCAAAACAGAUGCAGACAUGUGUGUUGGUGGUAGUGAGGAGAUUGGUAUUAGCAUCAAAUCUUCAUUGAUGACUAAUUUUUAAUUCCCUUCCUUUUAUCUUUAGGUAUGGCUUUCCCAACGAAAGGCUAAGAAUUCAAGAACGGUCUUAACUGAACCCUCAUCAGAUCUGAAUUUAACAAAUGCUUAGUCUCAGCAGCCUCCGGGGGGGGUUGGGGGGGGAAGCUUAGCCUAGCAGUCAGUGACUUACUUGCACUUUUUGCACACUGAUAGAAAGUAAAAGUAUGUUAUUAAUUUGGUUUAGUCUGUAAUCUUACAACGUAACGGUAAUUUAUAAAGGAGUGUAUAGUAGUAUACUGACUGCUAAGUGUACUAUACUGUUUGCUUUACUAAUCACCUAAUUCAUUGCAGUUCAUACUUAUUGACUCAAAGUUUAAAACCACAAUCUGUAGGCUUUAAGAAUUGCUUUUAAACCUUUUUAAGUGAUAAACUCUGGAAGUGGUCUUAAGGUUAGCAGAUAAUUGUCAGUAUUAAACAUGGCAUUAUUUAAGUGGUCCUGCUGCAAGAAAGGCACUUCAGUGAAUAUGUGAAUAGUAAAGCUUAAAUAUGUUUGGAUCUAAUAGAGUUGAUGAAAUACUGUAACUUGGGAUUGUGAAUGAAUGGAUAAAAUAGGUUAAGGCCAAGAUAUUUGAAAUGAAUGCAAUAUUAAUAGACGCAUAUAUACACAACAUGCUAUGGUUAAUUUUAAAACUACUGUGCCUUAACGUGUUUCUUAAAAUGGAACUUUUGUAGUAAAUGAACAUUUGAAAUCCAUUUUGAUAAACCUGCUGUUAAUGUUUGUUUUUUUCCCUUGUGAAUGUUUUCUAACUUUGUCUUGGUAAUUGCAAUUUAACUAGGUGCGGUGGCUACUAAAGUUCGAAGGCACGAUAUGCGUGUCCAUCCUUACCAAAGGAUUGUGACCGCAGACCGAGCCGCCACCGGCAACUAACCUAUGACCUUCUGACCUCUGAACUCUUCACCCAAUGAUGACCUGACCAUGCCUGCCUGCUGAUCAGUUAACUGGUAAUCGCCUUUGCUUGCCUGUCGUCAGUGCAGCGAGCUGAGGCACUUGUCCGUUCGUCUUACCAUCUAACCAAACAAAAGACAAAGAAAUUGUUGUCCUCCAGUUCAGCUUUCGGUUUUUCUUUCUGUUUGGGUGAAAGUGGUUCUAGAACCUGCACUGAAUAGUAGUAAAGCAAUAAGGCCCAAUUCAUCCCACAGCACUGAUCAUCUUCUCAUGCCCUGCCCUCAGCGAACGGUAAGAAGGCCUCACUUCAGGAGGGGAGACAGAUGGCCCUUAACUACUCAGUGACAGAGGCAGUUACUGUGAGAGACUUCUAGGAACCUUCUUCUCAUAGCGAGUCACAGCUCUCUGAAUGUACUGUGUGAUGAUGCAUCAUGCAUGAACCUUUGGUCAGGGAUGUCAUUGGUGAAGUGAUUUCAAAAAGUAUUCAAAAUUUGAUACGCUGUUUAGUCACUACAGUGCCCUCAAAGGGCAGAAGUUGCAGCCUUUUUUAUAUUGCCUGCCAAAAUUUGAAAUAUUAGAAGUGUGCCAUGAGAGAAAAAACUUAACAAGGAAUUUUGAGAAGUAAUGCAAAGAGCAAAACUGCAACACUAUUUUUAAAAAGAUAAAUAUCUGAGUUAAAAUUACUGAACCUUUAUUUUACAACGUCCUUUAAAAACUAUACGAGAACAAGGUACAUGCAUUAUGUGUCACAUUACUGGGCAAACUGUUCAAAUAUUUUUUUUAAACCUCCCUGUAUAGAAAAAAAAAAUCAUUAAGGAUGUAAAAGCCAUGCUUGCCUAUUUGCUGUAUACAUGUAAUGAAAUUGUAGAUAAAGUGUAGUGCAUUGAAACAAAUGAACAAAAAGUAGAUACUUUUACUAUACAAGGGUGCUGGUGCAGAAAAAAUAUAUAUAUUUUUGGAAAUGUAGCAUUUUAUACUUUCAAGUGUUAUAAAAAAAAAAAAAGAAAAAGAACAAAGAAACCCUUUAUUUCAUUAAAUGAUUUUUUCUGGUGGUUGUCAAGAAACAAAAGACCAAAAGAGCCUUUUUGUCUUUCUUUUUUAUUUUUUAAGUAUUGGAAUAAGUCUAAAGAAAAGAAAGUGCCUUAUUUUCCUUCAUGGUCAUUUAGUCAAGUGUCUUGUAAGAUCAGCUCCUCCCUCAGAAUACAAGUUAAUGCAUGUUACUCAGUCGCCCGCCCAGUAUGUGAAAGAUUUGAGGGGAGACAAAUGAGUUGAUGGUUUGAAUUAUAUGAUUUUUGCCACGUUACCUUGAUAGAAAUUUGCCAAAUCUGAUACUGUGAAAAAAUUUGAUACCUUUUCUAAUGUCUGACAAGUAAGUUUUAAAACAUCAUUCUUUUAAAAUCAUUAUUGAGUACUUUCGGUUAUUGUGAUAUUUAAUGUUAGCCCACAAGGUUCUGAGAUAAAAAUUAUGUGUGAUCUGAACAUCAGUUUACAGACAAACGUAGAACUUUAUUUUAUUCAGAGAAGGAGGGGUAUGUUGGAUUUUUUUCUUUUUAAAUUGAAGAUAAUAGUAUCCCUAGCAAACUUUUUCACAAAAAUGAAUCUUUGUGAUUUCAUUCUGGAGAACAGUAUUUUUUAAUGGUCCAGAUCUAAUCAGACUUCUUUCUGCCAUAUCAGAUCACUUGGGUAGUCCCUAUCUUUGGUGGUUUUAAUAACCUAAGAGGCCCCCCUACCCCCACACACUUUUUUUUUUUUUUUAAAGUUUAAAAAAAAUGAAGAAAACUGGCAUCAUUGUGCAUAGAAAUGCUCAACUACAUGUGAGUUUAAGCUUGCAGUUUCUCAUGAAAUGGAGUCAGUUCUGUAGUUGAAGCGAUUCGUGCACAGAGCAGACUCCAUGUCAACACUGGAGGGAAUAGCCCUUACCUGCUCAGUACCGGAUAUGGCAAAUACCAAGUGGCAGUGGGUCCCCCGCUCAUCAGCUCAUCCCCUCUCGCACCCCUUCACAGCUUCCCAGUCACAGGUCCGCAGUAAGCUCGGAAGCACCUUCGCGGUGACCUCCUCCAUCCUCUUGUCUCACUUGGAAACCGUUUUCAGUUUAUUUACUAUGCAAUAGACAUUCACUAUUUUGUAUUCAGCUAGCAUGGGUUUAAUGUGCCACUGCUUUGUCUUUCUGUUACACAUACAGUUGUUCUGAUUUCUUUACAAUAUAUGCUGUGCCAUUUUGGUUUUUAUUUUGUUUGGUUGGUGAAUAAAUUUGCGACACUCGAACACUUGAGGUGACAGUAGUUUAAAAACAAUACCAGUAUUUGAUCCAGUUUCAUCUCAACUACGUUGUACCUGGACAUUUUAGAUGUUUAUCAAAGGUCUUUUAUGGGGAAGAAAGUAAAUGUAUGAAAUAAAUGUGUGACAUUUAUAAGUGAUGUUGGCUCUGAACAAACUUUUGAAAACUUAGUUGAUAAAAUUUUGGAUCAACUGAAAAAAAGCAUGACUUUUGAAAUCUCUGAAUGCCUUGGUUCUCAGUAUUAUCAUUCUUUAUUGAAUUUAUUUCUUAUUAAAAUAUGUAGUUUUUAAGACUUCUUUUCUGACAGUAUUAUGUAAUUUUUUAGCGUGGGUAGAUGGGAGUGUCGCUUGUAUGUUACCGUACAGCUGACAUGUAUUUUGUCAAUUCUUUAUUAUCUUAGUAGUUUCAUGCUAUGUAUGUAUCAUAACCAACCUAUUGCCUAUGAGAAACAUGUAAGAUAAUGUAUUUACAGCCAUUGUUACAAGUUUAUAAUGUAUUUUUCUAUCUUGUUUUAUAUGUAUGUUAUAUAACAUUCAAAAAGAAUUUUUUUCUUGAUUGAGAAAAGGAUACAAAAUGCCGAAUCCACAAUUUUGAUAACUGAAAAUUGCCAAUUGUUUUGCAGUACUUUAUUAUAUUGGGUGUCUUGUCUUUCUUGGGCUUUUAGUUAGCUAAUGAAUGAAUACAUUAGACAGUUUUGGGUUUUAGUUGGGAUUUUACAUAGCUUGCAUUUUAAUUCUUUGGUUCUUUGCUGUUUCUAUUAACCCAUAGCAUUAUUUUAAUAAAUGUUAUAAUACCAACCUACUAACUCUGGACUAUGUCUGUUUAUUAACCUUUUCGUGUUUAAUUAAAAUAAACAAAUAAAGACAAAAGAAUGUAAAGUCUUGAGUUACUGGACUAACCCUGAAGAACGUGACCACAGAUAACAUAGCGUGACUUGUUUUUGUGUUGUUCGUCAGCUGACAACUGCGCGCACUACUGUUACAAUGGCUUUGGUUAUUCUGGCCUUUUACCUUGGGGGGUAGGCACCAGUAGAGAUGGGAACAAAGUAGCAUUGGUUUGAGGCAUUCUUCUAGUCUUGCCACUUGCCUUUCAGUCUCUUGCAUUACUAAUUCCACACUCUUAUUUUUCCUUCUCCAAAAUAAUCACUGUCUGCUCACGGCGUAAAGAGGAAAGAGAUUCCUUGUGAUGAUAUACCCCCCAAAAACCAGUUUGAUUCUUUGUUGAACCAUUUCUUUUAAUUUCUAUUAAGUGGGUAGUUUCAUGGUCACAUUAUAAAGCAAAGAAUCUGAUGAGGCUUUGUCUUUAUUCACAUUUGUGUUUUAACUGGACAUUUUCCUUUAUAAAGUGUUAAAGUGUUUUAGCCACUGUUUCUUUUGGCGUGGGAUGGUGGCGGGGUGGGGGGAGAGCUCAACUAGCCAAAGGUAGAGUGGCUCUGUUUCUCAGAACAGUCCGAAGUACGCCAUUUAGUAAUGACAGUGCACCCUGCCUCUCUCCUCUUGUAAACCCUAGAGACAGAUGAGACAGCAUCCUUGAGUUUUCCUGAGGUGUAAUUUCUCUCACCCUCUUCCAAAAUGCAGCCAGAAUAUUCUAUUAACACAAGAAGUUUAAGGGAGAAUGACAGCGGCAUUUGAGAAGUUAUAUCUCAUUCAUUUCUUGCAAGCAAGUCGAUUUCAGAUUUAUUAAAUACUUUCAUGCUUUUCUUGGCUGCAACUUAGGUAAAUUGACCUCCACAUGUGACUUCUUUGCUCUUGAGGUACAUUUUUAUUUCACAGAUACUGGUAAUUUUUUUUUCCCUAUGAAAGUUCUCCUGAAAUUAAUAAGUUCUCAGGAUGAAUUCCUAUGUCUGUAAAUAGUGGCUUAUUUUUGUAAAUUACACUUUAUUUAUUUUAAAGUUCUAAAACUUGGGGCUGAAAUGAGUUAUAUGUUAUAAAAGAUAUACCAGUAUGCCAUUAACCAGUCAGACUGUCAAAGUGCCCUCAUAUUUAUAUAUUCCCAUAGUAUAUCUACAUAAAUGAAUUUUAUAGAAUAGCGAUAACAGCUAAUUUAAUCAUCACAGAGAUAGUUUGGCUCAAACAAAAACAGCCAUUUCUUUGAUGGGCGGUUCGUGUAUUUUUGUUAGGUAGAUAGAGCUUUAAUAUGCUACUCUGUAAACGUUCUCAUUGCUGUACAGUUCAUAGAUUAUUUUGUAAAACUUUGAAGAUACCUGUCAAGCUGCUAAUCUGUAAGUCAUGAUGGUACCGUGUCACUUAAAUUGAUGAAUUUCUAUGCAACUCACUACACAUUCUCUGAAGCCUGUAAAUGCAGUCUCAUCUCAUUUUCAGUUAAUGGUACUUCAUGUAUAAAUAUGUCAUAUUGUCACCUUUUAUGUUGAAAAAUAUGGAAAAGACUUUAAAAGGUGAAAAGAACAGUACAAAUCCCAUUUUAAUACAAGUUGUAAUAGUAUUAAAAAUGAAACUACCAAAUUCUUAGAAUGAUAAAAUACUCUUCCAUUGUUUUAUACUAUCCUUUGACAAAACAAUUGAAAGUUAGGCUUUCAGUCAAGAAGAUGGUGAACUUAGUGUACUUUGUAGUUAAGCAUGUUUUUCUUUGGCAAAAGGUCAGGAAGAACGUACCAUGAAAGCGGAUACACACACCUUAGGGCAGCCGCUUGCCCGUAGACACUAGUCCGCCCAGAGCUGGUAAAGCACCCUAUUCACGAAGGCAAGAUGUGUACGUUCAUACACAAGGUGGUUAAGAUUUUCUUUAAAAAAAAAAAAAAAAGUAGAAAGGAUCUCAGUUUUCUAGUGCAGUGAAAGCAGACAAUAGGUUUAAAUGAAAUUGCUCAAGAAUCUUUACCAGUGAAGCCCAACACUUUUAUAUAUCCUGUAUGACAGUUCAGGGUUUCUCCAGUUUCUUGUUGUUUGCCGUUUGCUUGUUUGUGAUAAAGUGUCUGUCUUUUUUCUUUGGUAACAGUUAGCUAUUUCAGGAUUUCUAGCAAGUGAUUUUUAGUAGAAUGUAAUAUAAUGCUAAAUUAUGAUAGCAAAAGUUACUCCGAAAGCUUUGACUCAAACUUUCUAAGUGCUCAGGCUAGUUUUUUAACCCUGUCACAAAUCCCUAAAUACCUUUAAUCUAAAAUGGAAUAAAUGCUACAUUUUAUAGGCAACACUUAGAAAUAUUCAUAGGGUACACACACGUAAUUUUGUCUAUGGUUUCUUCCAUAUAAAAACCUGAAAUGCCUUUGUUAGGAAGAGACAAAAUUCUAUGCAUACCUGGUACUCAAUGCUGAAUCAAACUGGUUCACCUAAGCAUAGUGCUCUCCUGUCUGUGUUUCUGCUGCACUAAUUGCCAGGGGCGGGAGAGGAGGAGGAAGAGCUAAUUGAGAGCAGAAGCGAUGGUAGCAGGUGCGGCAAAUAACACAGUGUUGAUUUUGCAUUGCUUAGGAUUUUGGGGUCCCUUCUUGGCAAAAGACAUCACUUUGCGGAAAAAGCUCAACUCCUAGGGUAAAAAACUACAUAUAUAUAGUUUUAAAUGCUGUUAUUGAGAAGUUUUGAUUACCAAAUACAUCUUUUCUGGUUUAUGCUGUAGUGGUGUGUAUAAGACAUUUAGAACUUUACUUGUGGAAAUUGUAUAUAUAGAGAAAACUUUGCAUAGGUCUCAAAUCACAUGUGAAUGGAGAACCACGUAUGACUGUACAUGAAGUGCAAUAAACCAACUGGAAAAAGUGCAUGUGCUUCCUCUCCAGCCCGCUGCAGCCAGACAUGUUGCUUAUCCCCCCACCCCCGCUCCCGCCAACAAGACACAAGAAUAAAGAAUGCACGUUAUUUUUAAAUUUUUGAUGCUUUUAACACUAUUUUUAAAGGAAAAGAUAAUCUGACAUUAUGGAGCUCUUAUCACUUAACUGGAAGGGGGUCAUACUGUUUGCCUUGAUCUCAGUGAUGAAGAGAAGGAAUCAUAGUGUUCCUGGGCUGGAUGUACGUACAAAACAGUUACCACUUCUAACUGAGCAAUAGGUACAAUUUGUAGUCUUUACGCAUAAGAAACAAGAAAGGAUGCUGACCAAGUCUCGGUCUUGUCAGCUGCAUGUCAAAGACUCGUGUGAGUUUCUUGAACAAAGCAGAAGAACGGAUAAAGAGAUUGUUUCCAGUAGUUUGAAACUUGCUCCCUGAAGAUUGCAUCUUGGCACCCAAGUUUUAUGGCUCCCCUGUACCUGCGGUUUCCCAGUUCUUACGUGUCCAUAUGAUCCAAUUUCUUCUCUCUGAUCACAAGAACCCUCUUUGUCCUUGGCAGUAUUUUUUCCACACUCCUGCAAGUAGCUGAUGGCGGUAAGACCCGGAGCACGAGAUGUGAAGUAGCAGCCCACAGAGGGCAUUCGAUCUGGCCUGUACAAUAUUGCUGUUGCUUUUUAAUUGCCUUCCGUCGUUUAAUGUCUGAAGAUUACACUUAAAAAAAAAUAUUUUCACAAGGUCUGCCCUUUAAAAAUCAAGUAUCUUAGAAUGCUGAAGACUACAUUCUCACGCGGUAGCCAUAACGCUGAAAAUGAAUAAUUCUGAUGCUCCCUUUGAACCGUGCCCCCACUGGUUUGUCAGCCCCCACCCCAACACACACGCACGCACACACUCCUCACUCCCUCCACUUCACAACUCCCUGUUGAAUUCCUUAAUCCUAUCUUGAAUUUUUACCCUCAACUCCCUGGUUCCUGUGGGGAUCUGAGCUUGCCUCUUGAAAUCCAGAAAAUCUGACUUCAUGCCUCCAACUAGCUUCUCAAAUGUUUAUAAUUUGUAAAGCAGGUUUUAAUGAUUUUCUUCCUGGAAAAGUCAGAUGAGUAGGUUUCUAAAUUAAUAAGAAAUUAUUAGCCUAUCAUUCAUGUCAUAUUAAUAUUUAAUUAGGGAGGAAUUUCUACUGAGUGAAGGGGGUUUCCUUCCUAAUGUAAUUUUUUAAUAAUUAUCAGCUACCUCUAUAUCAUAGUAACUCUCCUUGGUCUUGUUAGAAGACAGUUAAACUUACAGAACAUUUAACAAUUAUGUUAAAAGUACUCUACAGCUAAAAGAAAAUAUUAGUAAUAGUUUGAGAUUACACUUUCCCAGGAAAUGUAUGUUAAAAUUAGGUUGUUCCAGUUACGCUAUUCCGUGAAGUGUGUAGAGUACACACCACCAUAAAAGUGCUUAUUUGUACGUAUGUGCCAUACAGCAGUUGUGUUUUAGGGAGCAUCUAAAAAUUAGGGUGAAAAAAAAAUUUUUUUUAAUGUACGCUCCUGUUACGUAACUGGGUAUUACUUAUACUCUGGUUACUUAACUGGAUACUAGGGAAAGUCAUGGGAGAGAAUGGUUAAGAUCAAAUACUGAGAGAAGAAAAUAUUUGCAGAUGAUUCCACAAGUAUUUUCUUGCAGAACUGUUGGAGUUGAUACUAAAAAUUUCACGAUCACUCAUUUACUUAGAACUAUCAAGGUUGGGAAUGAAUAAAAUACGUUAUGCUUGAAAUUUUAAAAGCGCUCUUAAUCACAGUGUUUUAAAUUUUGUCUUAUAAAAUUAAAAGACUAGCAGUGUAAAUGGAAGGUUGCCUUGAAUACAUUCUAAUUAAAUGAUUUAUGUUAAUAA